AGCGAACGCUGGCGGCGUGCCUAACACAUGCAAGUCGAACGUGAAAAGGGAAACCUGAGUAAAGUGGCGUACGGGUGAGUAACGCGUAGGUAAUCUACCCCAGAAUCUGGAAUAACCUGCCGAAAGGCGGGCUAAUACUGGAUAGAGCGAGGGAACUCGUAAGAGAGUUUUUCGGGAAAGGGAGCCCGCAAGGGCCUUCGUUCUGGGAUGAGCCUGCGUCUCAUUAGCUAGUUGGUAAGGUAACGGCUUACCAAGGCGAUGAUGAGUAGCUGGUCUGAGAGGAUGAUCAGCCACACUGGAACUGAAACACGGUCCAGACUCCUACGGGAGGCAGCAGUGGGGAAUCUUGCGCAAGGGACGAAAGUCUGACGCAGCCACGCCGCGGGAGUGAAGAAGGCCUUCGGGUUGUAAAGCUCUGUCGGAUGGGACGAACAUCUUCAUAGUGAAUAGCUAUGAGGACUGACGGUACCAUCAAAGGAAGCACCGGCUAACUCCGUG
RNAcentral lists this ribosomal RNA (498 nucleotides) under uncultured bacterium. Its description in RNAcentral is "partial 16S ribosomal RNA". It matches the Rfam family "Bacterial small subunit ribosomal RNA", at positions 29 to 507 of the family's 1533-position model. The record is from RNAcentral.